GCUGGCGGUAUGCUUAACACAUGCAAGUCGAACGAGAAGGAAGAGCUUGCUCUUCCUGAAAGUGGCGAACGGGUGAGUAACGCGUGGGUAACCUACCCUUUGGAAAGGAAUAGCCACGGGAAACUGGGAGUAAUGCCUUAUAAGAUACGUUUGUCGCAUGGCAUUUGUAUUAAACGCUCCGGCGCCAUAGGAUGGACCCGCGUCCCAUUAGCUAGUUGGUGAGAUAACAGCUCACCAAGGCCACGAUGGGUAACCGGUCUGAGAGGGCGAACGGUCACACUGGAACUGAGACACGGUCCAGACUCCUACGGGAGGCAGCAGUGGGGAAUAUUGCGCAAUGGGGGCAACCCUGACGCAGCAAUACCGCGUGAGUGAAGAAGGUUUUCGGAUCGUAAAGCUCUGUUAUUGGGGAAGAAAAAAAGACGGUACCCAAGAAGAAAGUUCCGGCUAACUACGUGCCAGCAGCCGCGGUAAUACGUAGGGAACAAGCGUUGUCCGGAUUUACUGGGCGUAAAGGGCACGCAGGCGGUUUUUUAAGUCAGAUGUGAAAGGCCACAGCUCAACUGUGGACAUGCAUUUGAAACUGAAAGACUUGAGUAUUGGAGAGGCAAGUGGAAUUCCUAGUGUAGCGGUGAAAUGCGUAGAUAUUAGGAGGAACACCGGUGGCGAAGGCGGCUUGCUGGACAAAUACUGACGCUGA
RNAcentral lists this ribosomal RNA (700 nucleotides) under uncultured bacterium. RNAcentral describes it as "bacterial SSU rRNA". It matches the Rfam family "Bacterial small subunit ribosomal RNA", at positions 35 to 749 of the family's 1533-position model. The record is from RNAcentral.